Molecule: long non-coding RNA, 483 nt
Organism: Oxyura jamaicensis (ruddy duck)
Lineage: Eukaryota; Metazoa; Chordata; Aves; Anseriformes; Anatidae
Exons: 3
Source: RefSeq, a predicted model, not a curated record
UUGGUUUUAGGACAGACCUGUGAGCAGUUAAGGCCAUGGAAAAUGUCUGCUUUAAAAGCAUUACUACAUUUCAAGCAGUAGCAUGGAAAUUUGAGAGUGCUUUUCUAUAGUGAGAGAGGAUGUUUUUCUAUCUCCUGAAAGAAUUAGAAGGAUAGAAAUGACAGAAAAGGUUAGAUAAAAUGAAAACCUUGGACAAAGGAAGAACAUUUAACUGCAGUGACUAAAUUCCUAAUCUGUGAACUCUGCUAUAAAGACACUACAAAUAAGAUUUUGAUUACUGAAUCAGCCGCAAACCACUACAAUUCAAACAUCACUUGCAGGGUAGAAGGAGCAUUGAAAGUUUUUCAGAGAGAAAGAGUCAUAGAGGAGAGAGAUUUCUCAACAGCAUGCGGGCCAGAUGAUCUCCAUAUGAACAGAGCAGAAGGAACAGCACGAGGAAAUGCGAUUGUCAGAUGAGUAUAGAAACAAGGAUAAAAUUCAGAC